RNAcentral lists this transfer RNA (71 nucleotides) under Lepeophtheirus salmonis (salmon louse). Its description in RNAcentral is "transfer RNA proline (anticodon CGG)". It matches the Rfam family "tRNA". From Rfam's summary of the family: Transfer RNA (tRNA) molecules are approximately 80 nucleotides in length. Their secondary structure includes four short double-helical elements and three loops (D, anti-codon, and T loops). The record is from RNAcentral. Lineage: Eukaryota; Metazoa; Arthropoda; Copepoda; Siphonostomatoida; Caligidae.
GGCUCAGUGGUCUAGGGGUAUGAUUCGCGCUUCGGGUGCGCGAGGUCCAGGUUCAAUUCCCGGCUGAGCCC